Scleropages formosus (Asian bonytongue) is the source of this 292-nucleotide long non-coding RNA. RefSeq lists it as uncharacterized. The transcript has 3 exons. NCBI's taxonomy places the organism in Eukaryota, Metazoa, Chordata, Actinopteri, Osteoglossiformes, Osteoglossidae. The record is from RefSeq and is a predicted model, not a curated record.
CAACAACCGCAAAGCAGACAGUGACUGGAACGUGGUGAAGGAGUUCCUCAGCAGCCUUUCUCUGGCAGUGCUCCUCGUUCUCUCCUCGUUGCUAGGAUACCUGAUGCUGCUAAACCAUGAUCCGGAUGUUCACAGUGUGCUCAGCAUCGUCUUCUGCAUUUUCAAUGUCAUCCAGGCCUUGCAGAUAUUCCUCCUCAUCCCAGACUGGCAGCAGGUCUUCUCCGUGAUGCCUUCCUUACCCUCACCUGCUGUUUCUCUCGGCCUGCACUCCAAGAAGUAUCACGUCCGCCCC